GCCAGGGCUGGCAUGUAUGUUCACACAGAAAUGCUUUGCUUCUGGAAAACCCAGGCUUGUGCAAUCGUUCCGUUGAUUGCAUACGCCGAUUGCUGUAAUUCCUCCUUGCCUUUCAUGCGCGGAAGUAGAGCCUCUUUACAAGAAUUCUGUGCUGUGAGAGAGCCACAUCUGUUUUGAUCGAAUUAUUUCGAUACCAGUAACUAUUGAGCUAUGCUGUCCCACGUCCCGUUUCUUGGUCCAGUUGAUGGUGCAGGAAGGCCGUCAGAGCAGAAGGCCGUACAGCUUUCCCGUUUCCAGCCCUGCAGUUCCCCACUGCCCUGCGCAGGGACCUGGGGGUGCAGUAGCCGAAGCCUUGAAGAAGUUGGACUGUAAGACAGAGCUUUCACCCAAGGAAGCUGAUGCCUGGUUCAUCUUUACCUUGUGUCAUUCCAGUAACCCUCCCUUCGAGCAGCUGCUCUCUGAUGAUGUUUAGCAGUGAGGUGUUUGUACUACAUUAGGUGCGUAUGCUUUAGUUUGAAAUCCUCACU
RNAcentral lists this long non-coding RNA (527 nucleotides) under Dromaius novaehollandiae (emu). RNAcentral describes it as "lncRNA (ENSDNVG00000008878.1)". The record is from RNAcentral. Lineage: Eukaryota; Metazoa; Chordata; Aves; Casuariiformes; Dromaiidae.